Molecule: ribosomal RNA, 972 nt
Filed under: Calisoga sp. T DHL-215
Lineage: Eukaryota; Metazoa; Arthropoda; Arachnida; Araneae; Nemesiidae
Description: partial 12S ribosomal RNA
Source: RNAcentral
ACCGAUGAUACGCGAUAUUUUUAACUUAAACCUAAUCUUUAUACCGCCGUCCAAAGGAUAAAAUUAAAUAUUUUAUUCGUACCAUACCACCCAAGUAAAAAUGUCAGGUCAAGGUGAAGUUAAUGUUUGAGUUUCAAUGAGUUAUCAAUAAAAAUAAUUUAUGGACUUUUGUUUAAAAUCAAAAAUCGAAUCAAGAUUUAAAAGUAUUUUCAGUUUAAUACACUAAAAAGAAUAAGCAAAAAAGGUGUACAUAUCGCCCGUCGCCCUCGUCCAAAGAUGAGGUAAGUCGUAACACAGUUAAUAUACUGGAAAGUGUAUUAAGCGUACACAACCCCAAGCUAUCAGUAUUUCACUUACACUGAAAAGAUUCCAUUUACCUCUACGUGAAUCCUUGUUCACAAAAUCUUUGCGCUCUUUUAUUUCUAAUUCGACUCUUCAAAAACUGAAAAGGAAAAUCAAAAUAUAAUCUAAGUAAAAUUAUGUACCUUUUGUAUCAGGGAUUCUCAAAUCUCCACAGUAUAUCCCAGACUCCCGAAACAAAACGAACUUUGUAUUUUAGUACAAGUUGUGGCACAAACAAUAUAAAUUUUUCAAAGUUGAGAUAUUCUUUUCAAGUCUUUCUAUAUCUGGUUCACUCUUCAUCAACUCUUCUCAUAAUUCAAAGAAUAAGCUUUGAGUCAAGCUUACCCCCUUCUCACCUUCUGAACCUAGAUUUAAUAGUAUCCGCACUGUUUUUAAACCCCUUAUCUUAACACACUCAAGCAAUAUUAUCCCCCCGAGUGAAUCACCCCAUUAAUAUCAUAAUGAUAAUAUCAGUAAAAUUUUUUCCUUCUUCAACUCCCCUUUUUAAAAUUAUUCCCCACUUCAAGCUUACAUUGAAUUUAUGAACUAGGCCCACAAUCAAUUGACUGUUUAUCAAAAACAUAGCUAAUAGAUCUCAAUUACUAGUAGUACCUGCUCAAUGAAAAAUAA